AACUUUUGGCAAUGGAUCUCUUGGCUCUCGCAUCGAUGAAGAACGCAGCGAAAUGCGAUACGUAAUGUGAAUUGCAGAAUUCAGGGAAUCAUCGAAUCUUUGAACGCAUAUUGCGCUCUCUGGUAUUCCGGAGAGCAUGCUUGUUUGAGUAUCAGUAAACACCUCAAAUCCCUCUACUUGUUGGAGGAAUUUGGACUUGAGCAAUCCCAACUUUUCCAAAGAGAAGGCGGGUUGCUUGAAAUGCAGGUGCAGCUAGAUUCUUUCUUCUGAGCUAUAAGCAUACUUAUUUAAUCCCGUCAAACGGAUUAUUACUUUUGCUGCAGCUAACAUAAAGGUUGAAGAGUCGCUAUGGCUGACUGAUGCAGGAUUUAACAUGUCGCGCAAGCGAUCUGUAAACUCGAUCUCAAAUCAAGCAAGACUACCCGCUGAACUUAAGCAUAUCAAUAAGCGGAGGCU
Molecule: unclassified non-coding RNA, 456 nt
Filed under: uncultured Mortierella
Lineage: Eukaryota; Fungi; Mortierellomycota; Mortierellomycetes; Mortierellales; Mortierellaceae
Description: sequence contains ITS2
Rfam family: 5.8S ribosomal RNA (bases 1-154)
Source: RNAcentral